Molecule: long non-coding RNA, 3533 nt
Organism: Homo sapiens (human)
Lineage: Eukaryota; Metazoa; Chordata; Mammalia; Primates; Hominidae
Gene: MAP3K9-DT
Product: MAP3K9 divergent transcript
Source: Ensembl
CUUUUAGGCCCAUUGGGAUGUUCAUUAGAACUCUGAAAACUACAGUUCUCCCCUUUAUGAGGACUGCACCACAGCUCGCCCUCUCCUGGGUUCCGGUAAGAAGAGAUUCCAAUACCACUCUUUUUUCAGAAUUCAGAAAGGCAAGAGACCACCUUACUGAGCUUCAAACUGGGGCUGGGAACGCUGCCAUGAAUUGGGCUUGGUCUGUCUGAAGGGAGCCACCUUUUCGACAAUCCUUAGACUUCUUUUGCCUGUUGGAAUUACACCUUGGAUCGUGGCGAAGUCUAUAGAGGUCAGAUUAAGAAGAACCAAAGCAGAAUAAACGUAGAACCCGAUGCUGAGUUCACGAGUGAGGACGACCUCUUCCUAUAUGCUUUGCUAUACCCUGCGUUUUGAACAUUAAGGACGAGAUAGGAGGCCCAUAAUGUUUCUUCUUGCUUUAAUCCUGUCGUGGCAACGUUGACUUCCAGUAAGAAAGGUUCUCUGAUCUUUUUUUCUCUUUUCUUUUCUUUUCUUUUCUUUUCCUUUCUUUUCUUUUCUUUUCUUCCAGGGUCUCAGUUUGUUGUCCAGGCCAGAGUGCAGUGGCGCAAUCUCGGCUCACUGCAGCCUCAACAUCCUAGGCUCAAGCCAUCCUCCCACCUCACCCUCCCGAGUAGCUGGAAGUACAGGCUCGUCUUGAACUCUGGGCUGAAGUCAUCCACCUGCCUCGGCCUCCCAAAGUGCUAGGAUUACAGGCCUUAGCCACCUCACCUAGUCCUCUGAAAUUUCUAAAUAAGCCAGUGCUGAAGGAUCUAGCCCAACUUCUACCAAACUUUGUUACCUUUUCCCCUUCAGUGGUAGGAAUAGACAUGAUUUAUUUAGCAAGGGUGAGUGCUUUUGUUGAAUUUUAGUUUGGGGUUUAUUAUUACACAAACUAAAGACAGCGGGGCAAUUUGGAAAGAUAACUAGGCAGCUGCAUGACUUCAGGCAGGUGUCCUAACACUGUACUCUUAAAGUGAGGGGAGUGAACUGGAAGAUAUCCUGUGUCCUCAUAGUUUGAACAUUCUGUGGUUCGCUCAUCAAUAUGACUACACUGUAUAGUCAUAGCACACAUUUGAGGUCUUGAAGAAGAGAGAUGAGGCUUGUUCUAAAAAGCAUCCAGAGUAGGUCUUGAAAAAGGAUUUCUGUUUAAGUAAAGACCUAAAACAAUGCUCAGAUUCCUAUUAUACAUAGGAUCCAUGAACUGGAAAAGAUAUGGAUGAGUCUGAGUAAAUUAUCUAGGUUUUGUUUUAGACAAAACCAUUCCACUGUCAAGCAGCAGAGAGCAAGGGAGUGGGGAUGGAGGUAUAUUGUGUUUUUUUAAAGGCCAUAAGAAAAUAAUUGUCUUGAUAAAAUUUUAACUUAGGACUGGGUAUGGUGGCUCGUGCCUGAAAUCUCAGCAGUUUGGGAGGCUGAGGCAGGAGGAUCACUUGAGCCCAGGAAGGAGACCAGCCUGAGCAACAUGGCGAGACCCCUAUCUCUACAAAAAAUGUUAAAAUUUGCCAGGCAUGGUGGUGCAAGCCUGUAGUCCCAGCUGUUUGAGAGGCUGAGGCAGGAAGAUUGCUUGAACCUAGGAGGUCAAGGCUGUAGUGAACAGUGUUUGCUAUACCACAUUCCAAUCUGGUGACAAAGCAAGACCCUGUCUCAAAAAAAAGAAUUUUUUUUAACUUGAGGGAAAAAAAGUUUUACAAACUGUAGACACACAGCAAAACAGAAACAGGAAAAAAAGUACUAAAAAGAGAAAAAUGUCAGUAGUGGGUCUCUAAGUAGUCGGAUUAUGAGUAAUUGGGUAAGUUUAUUGUCAUUUUGCUUCUCCAUAAUUUCGUAUGUUCUACUAUUUAGUUUUGUGGAUUCCUUCCCACUCCCUGGGAAGAGGGGAAGAGAGGAGAAAAAUCAUUGAUUCUUCUCAAUAGGAAAACUAAUUCCCUGUGCAACUUAAACCUUUAAUACCAUAGCAUGUGUUUAGAAUCUCAUAAAGAAUCAUUCAUCAAACAUUUCAACAAGUCAUUCAGUUAAUAUUUGUUGAAUGGGUAAGUGCUAGGAAUUCAAAUGAGGGUAGAUCUUUCAGACUAAACUUGUCUGGCAGGGUUGCAUGGAAGAAGCAGAACCAGAACUGGUCCUGGAGGGGAAUGGGGUGGAGCAGGGAAGAGUGUGUUCAGGAAAGGAGGGUGGGAAUAGGCACAGCCACAGACGUAGGAAAGCAUGGAGAGGGGACCAUUUGGAUGGAAUAGAAGGAUGAGAAAGAACUGAAAAGAUAGGUUGAGACCAGACUGUAGAGGGCCCUGUAAUCACUUGAUUCACACUAGUAAUUAUGUAAUUGAUUAUUUGUAAUUAUUUAAUGUCUGGUGCAUCCACCAUAAGGGUAGGAACCAGUCUGUCUGGUUCUCCACAGCUCUCCCAGCACCUAGAGAGUGCUUAGCACAUAAUUGACUCUCAGUACUUCUUUGCAACUGGAUGGCUGACUUGAAUCCCAGGCGAAGAAGCCUUGGUUUUGUUCAGCAUGUAAAAGAUUAUCACUGAAAGGUUUUGAGUAGGGCUGUGGGGUGAUCAAAUACUGCCUUCCCUGAGGACUAGAAUGGAUGAGGAGAUGCUUAAGUUGGGCAUUGAAAGAUAUGUACAACCUGAUUAAUAGAGAAUAAAAGAUGUGGAAAUAGAAAUUAAUGUAGUGGGUAGCAAUAAUAGAAAUUUCAUCCAGAGAAGAGGAGAGAAUGCAAAAAGGGAGUGAUGGGAAAUAAAACUGAUGAAAUAAAAGAAGGGCAGAUUGUAAAAGACUUUGAAAGUCAGGUGGAAUUACCAAGAUUUUACCACUAUGAAGUUUUUGAGGAGGGGAUUGGCAGAUGUCACCCCAAAAAAGAAACAUUUUCUCUACCACGCUGAAAAGCAUAGCAUAAGGGAGAAAAUAGCAAUCAAGAUGCAAGUUGGCAUUAGACUUAAGUCAACAGAUCAUGGUUUAUCCUGGCUUUGUCCUUUAAAAAUGCUGUGACUUUGGGCAAGACACCAGUUUGAACCUCAGUUUCCUCAAUUUUAAGUAGGUGUAAUAAUAAUACCUGGUUUUAAUGGAUGUUUACAGGAUUAAAUGAGACAGGACAUGCAGAAGCUCUUAGCUUGCUGCUCACACCCAGCAAAUAGUCAACAUAUUUUUUUCCUUCUUUCACCUGCCCAUUACCCCCAAGAAACACUCUUUAAUUACACCUAGGCCUCUUGACUGAAAGUUGAACCCAGGGUUUUCCCUAAAGGAAAGAGAGAGAAGGAAGGAAGGAAAAAGGAACAGAGGCCUCUGGGAGGCCGAGAUGGGUGGACCACUUGAGCUGAGGAGUUCAAGACCAGCCUGGGCAACAUGGUGAAACCCCAUCUCUACAAAAUAGAAAAAUUAGCCAGGCAUGGUGGUGCCUGUGGUCCUAGCUUUUGGGAGGCUGAGAUGGGAGGAUCGCUUGAGCAGAGAUGUUGAGGCUGUAGUGAGCUGAGAUUGCUCCACUGCACUCUAGCCUGGGUAACAAAACGAGACCCUCUCUCUC